AUAAUUCUAUAAUUACCGGUGUUAAGAACAGACGGUAAGUGUAAUAGCUAAGGAAUGGACAGAACGUCUCGUAAAAACUCUUGUAUACGGUACGUAAACGCAAGUCUGUGUGAAGAUUGUGAUUGGAAAUGUCAGACAGGGAAACGGCAGGCGCUACGCUGGUGUUACACUGAACAAUACUCCGAGUGCGGAUUGUGUAUGGAAUUUUCCUGGUGAGAUAACGGGUUUAACUGACGCGCGUUUUCCGGUUUUACUCGGGCGUUU
Molecule: non-coding RNA, 264 nt
Organism: Cinara cedri
Lineage: Eukaryota; Metazoa; Arthropoda; Insecta; Hemiptera; Aphididae
Source: the annotation of a GenBank genome assembly